AUAUACUUCCAUAUAUCAUUCCAAAAUUGGAACAGUACAGAGAAGAUUAGCAUGGCCCCUGCGCAAGGGUGACAUGCAAAUUUAUGAAGCGUUCCAUAUUUUU
Cervus hanglu yarkandensis (Yarkand deer) is the source of this 103-nucleotide small nuclear RNA. The record is from Ensembl. NCBI's taxonomy places the organism in Eukaryota, Metazoa, Chordata, Mammalia, Artiodactyla, Cervidae.